UACGUAGGUGACAAGCGUUGUCCGGAUUUACUGGGCGUAAAGAGCGCGCAGGCGGUCGUUCAAGUCGAGUGUGAAAGCCCCCGGCUCAACUGGGGAGGGUCACUCGAUACUGAUCGACUCGAAGGCAGGAGAGGGUAGUGGAAUUCCCGGUGUAGUGGUGAAAUGCGUAGAUAUCGGGAGGAACACCGGUGGCGAAGGCGGCGUCCUGGACCAACACUGACACUGAUGAGCGAAAGCCAGGGGAGCAAACGGG
RNAcentral lists this ribosomal RNA (253 nucleotides) under uncultured bacterium. Its description in RNAcentral is "partial 16S ribosomal RNA". It matches the Rfam family "Bacterial small subunit ribosomal RNA", at positions 524 to 776 of the family's 1533-position model. The record is from RNAcentral.